RNAcentral lists this ribosomal RNA (253 nucleotides) under uncultured bacterium. Its description in RNAcentral is "partial 16S ribosomal RNA". It matches the Rfam family "Bacterial small subunit ribosomal RNA", at positions 524 to 776 of the family's 1533-position model. The record is from RNAcentral.
UACGUAGGAGGCGAGCGUUGUCCGGAGUUACUGGGCGUAAAGUGUGCGCAGGUGGCGUCGCAAGUCGAGUGUGAAAGCCCCGAGCUUAACUUGGGAAUUGCGCUCGAAACUACGAUGCUGGAGUGUGGCAGAGGAAGGUGGAAUUCCACGUGUAGCGGUGAAAUGCGUAGAGAUGUGGAGGAACACCGAUGGCGAAGGCAGCCUUCUGGGCCAACACUGACGCUCAUGCACGAAAGCGUGGGGAGCAAACAGG